This 497-nucleotide ribosomal RNA is filed under the name uncultured bacterium. RNAcentral's name for it is "partial 16S ribosomal RNA". It matches the Rfam family "Bacterial small subunit ribosomal RNA", at positions 28 to 507 of the family's 1533-position model. The record is from RNAcentral.
GAUGAACGCUGGCGGCGUGCCUAAUACAUGCAAGUCGAGCGAACAGACGAGGAGCUUGCUCCUCUGAUGUUAGCGGCGGACGGGUGAGUAACACGUGGAUAACCUCCCUAUAUUACUGGGAUAACUUCGGGAAACCGGAGCUAAUCCCGGAUAACAUGUUGAACCGCAUGGUUCAACAGUGAAAGACGGUCUUGCUGUCACUUAUAGAUGCAUCCCCGCCGCAUUAGCUAGUUGGUAAGGUAACGGCUUACCAAGGCAACGAUGCGUAGCCGACCUGAGAGAGUGGUCGGCCACACUGGAACUGAAACACGGACCAGACUCCUACGGGAGGCAGCAGUAGGGAAUCUUCCGCAAUGGGCGAAAGCCUGACGGAGCAACGGCGCGUGAGUGAAGAAGGUCUUCGGAUCGUAAAACUCUGUUAUGAGGGAAGAACAAAUGUGUAAGUAACUAUGGACGUCAUGACGGUACCUAAUCAGAAAGCCACGGCUAACUACGUG